UUUCCGUAGGUGAACCUGCGGAAGGAUCAUUAAUGAGUUGUCAUGGGGUUCGAUGCUGGCAGCCAGUUUUUGGAUGCAUGUGCUUGCCCUAACAAUCAUCUUCUUCCAAACACCUGUGCACAUUUUUGAGGGAGUCUUGAGUUGGUUGCCGCUCUUGGGUGAUUUUCUCACAUUCCCUUAAAUCAUUAUACGCUAUUAACAAUGUUGAACGUGCUCUGUGCCGCAAGGCCAUUAAUAUAAUACAACUUUUAACAACGGAUCUCUUGGCUCUCACAUCGAUGAAGAACGCAGC
This 292-nucleotide unclassified non-coding RNA is filed under the name plant metagenome. RNAcentral's name for it is "partial contains small subunit ribosomal RNA, internal transcribed spacer 1, and 5.8S ribosomal RNA". The stretch from base 244 to 292 matches the Rfam family "5.8S ribosomal RNA", at positions 1 to 49 of the family's 154-position model. The record is from RNAcentral.